UUCGAUUCUGGCUCAGGACGAACGCUGGCGGCGUGCCUAACACAUGCAAGUCGAGCGGGGACAUGCGACGGAAUUGAAGUUUUCGGAUGGAGAUGAAGAUGUAUGUUCUAGCGGCGGACGGGUGAGUAACGCGUGAGCAACCUGUCCUUCACAGGGGGAUAACACAGCGAAAGUUGUACUAAUACCGCAUGAGACCACAACGGGACAUCCCGCAGGGGUCAAAGGAGCAAUCCGGUGAAGGGUGGGCUCGCGUCCGAUUAGAUAGUUGGUGAGGUAACGGCCCACCAAGUCGACGAUCGGUAGCCGACCUGAGAGGGUGAUCGGCCACAUUGGGACUGAGACACGGCCCAAACUCCUACGGGAGGCAGCAGUGGGGAAUAUUGGGCAAAUGGGGGAAACCCUGACCCAGCAACGCCGCGUGAGGGAAGAAGGUUUUCGGAUCGUAAACCUCUGUCCUAGGUGAAGAGGAAGAGACGGUAGCCUAGGAGGAAGCCCCGGCUAACUACGUGCCAGCCGCCGC
This 520-nucleotide ribosomal RNA is filed under the name uncultured bacterium. RNAcentral describes it as "bacterial SSU rRNA". It matches the Rfam family "Bacterial small subunit ribosomal RNA", at positions 12 to 518 of the family's 1533-position model. The record is from RNAcentral.